This 334-nucleotide long non-coding RNA is filed under the name Gossypium barbadense (sea-island cotton). Its description in RNAcentral is "long non-coding RNA (GBAR_LNC006392)". The record is from RNAcentral. Lineage: Eukaryota; Viridiplantae; Streptophyta; Magnoliopsida; Malvales; Malvaceae.
GACGCCACCUCGUUGCUAUAGCCUCUCCACUUCUCCUAUCAUCGAUCUACACUCUCGCAUCACCGCUCCUCCCUUUCACAACACCACCUCUUCUAUUUUUUUCUUUUCCUCCAUAAGCACCAAACCCCCAAACCACCCUUCCUACCAUAUUAACCAACGUAAUACCUGAAACCCCCAGCACCACCUUUCAAAAAAAUUGACCCAAACCGCGUCGAUGCUGCCAUUCACCGCCAGAUCCAUUUGUUCUUUCAACCUACAUGAAAACCAUGGUUCGAACUCAGAACCAAAUAGUAGAUAAUAUUCUAGCCUCGCUCAAUCACGGAGGAAACCAAUU